GCCUUACACAUGCGAAGUCGAACGGCAGCGGACCGUUCGGGUGCCGGCGAGUGGCGAACGGGUGAGUAAUAUAUCGGAACGUUACCUUCAGGUGGGGGAAUAACGUAGACGAAAGUUACGCUAAUACCGCAUAAGCCCUGGAGGGGGAAAGCAGGGGAUCGCAAGACCUUGCGCGAAUGGAGCGGCCGAUGUCAGAUUAGCUAGUUGGUGGGGUAAAGGCCUACCAAAGCGACGAUCUGUAGCGGGUCUGAGAGGAUGAUCCGCCACACUGGGACUGAGACACGGCCCAGACUCCUACGGGAGGCAGCAGUGGGGAAUUUUGGACAAUGGGCGCAAGCCUGAUCCAGCCAUGCCGCGUGCGGGACGAAGGCCUUCGGGUUGUAAACCGCUUUCAGCCGGAAAGAAAUCGCCAAGGCUAAUAUCCUUGGUGGAUGACGGUACCGGAAGAAGAAGCACCGGCUAACUACGUG
RNAcentral lists this ribosomal RNA (470 nucleotides) under uncultured bacterium. RNAcentral's name for it is "bacterial SSU rRNA". It matches the Rfam family "Bacterial small subunit ribosomal RNA", at positions 46 to 507 of the family's 1533-position model. The record is from RNAcentral.